UUGUUGUUUACACGAACGGGACAUUUUAAAACCGUUAACCGGACGCGUUGCUUAACGUAUAACGGCAGUAUUAGUUUGCAAAGUCAGUAUAAACCAAAUUAAUAAAUCAUACUAUGUGUAUGCAAGCCUACGAGCACACGCGAUGCGUUAAAUUAUACGCUAGUGUUUUCCUUUUAUAAAACUAUUAUGAAGAAAUGCUUAACGUAGCCUAAUGUAUACGUCAAUGAUAUGAAAAGAUCAGAUUUAACGUUACCUGAGAGAAUAAUUUAUUAGUAUAAAAGCAUAUUUAACAAAGUACCCUAAAUUAACGUUACAUGAAGCUGGGAGGAAAACUCUAAAUGUGUAAGUUACCACGUUGUGUUUAUAUUCUCAUCCGCUUGGCUUUACCUGUUACAUAAAUUAUGCGUUAUUAAUAAGGUGUAUAACUACAUUUUAUCUUUCAAAUUCGUUAAACUACGUUAAGCAUUUUAGCGUAUGUUAUGUGUGUGUGGUGGCCAAUCGGAAAAACAUUAUAUUUUAAAUGUGAAUAUGUUUAAACAUAAAUGCUGAAACCUUAUUUGCAUAAAAUAAAGUUUUAAAAUGUGUUUUUGUUUUGUAUUAAAUUGCUUUUGAGGACAAGGUAGCUGUACAGUAAAUAUUCAGCCUCGAUCAGAAAACCAUGUCCCACUGUCAUAAAACACAGACCUGUGGCCAUGUGUAGUGAUUUGAGUAGUGUACAUCUACUCUGGUGAUCAUUUCAAAACAGUAUUUACUGAAAAAUAUGAGUGUUUAGCAUCAUGUAUUAAAUGUGUUAAAUAUGUCCUUUUUUCCCUGCAUUUAUUCUGCUGUCUAAAAUUCUUUGGGAGGAUAAAUUAAGGAGGAUGUAACAAAAUACACUGCAAGAACUGGAGUGAGGAUGAAGAGGACAACAGAAUAUCCAUCCUUUCUUCACCACCUCACAGAGUUUGAGUGAAACAACUUGUAUUAGGACUCACAGGAUUAUUUUAUGACAAGACUGAUUAUUUUAUACCAGAAGUAUGGUAUUUUUUUGAAGCUACUGUAUUAUUUCUUAUGACAAUUCAUUUUGAUGUGCAUUCAGAACUGUAAGUUGUGGUAGUGGAUCAUGAUCACCUCUCUAGCUUCAAAAGUAGGAUGCAGAAUGUAUAACACCAAAUCAUUAUAGCAUAACUCCAUGUAACUUGACAUAAUUUAAAGUCGUCUAAAGGCAGACAUGAUUGGGUGUGUGAAGUCCUAUGCCAAAGACUCUCCAAAUACUGCAUCUACACAUUCUUCCUGAUGUGUAUAUUUUGUUGGUAUAUCCUGGUUGUUGCAGACCUGACAGUAAACUUGACUGUGAGCAUCCUAUCCAUCAGGUGUAGCUGUUUACUUGCAUUACUCAUUUAGAGAAAUGACGGGUCAAAAUUGAUUAUAUGGAUUAUAUUUUCAUCACCCCUUUUUGUAUGUCUUUGGGACACUUGAAAUAUAUAGCAUGUAUAAUGUGGAGCCAUUUUAUAAUGCGGUCACAGACUACUCCCAUUGUAACUGGAAAACCAAAGAAAAUCAUUGUUUAAAUUAUACAAUUAUAAUUUUUGGAUUAACUAAACCUGUAAUCAGUGAUAUAUGUAUGUAUGUUUAUAAUUUGUUAUUUUAAAUGUAUUAAAUGAAUUGUAAUUUCACACAACUUCUUAAAGUAUUUGUAUUGUUUUAAAUAAAGGCUUCAAUAUUUGAAAUUGUCUCUUUGAAUUAAAUGUUAGCAGUAUCUGUAGGUUAAAAUGUAAAAAUUAAUUUUAUCUAAAAAUUAUAGCUAAUUUAAAUAUAAUAAAAAUGAAUGUAUAAAAAAAUAAAAAGAAUAGUAGUAUGUUAUACAGUAGUAUACUGCAAACCUGGGUUUUUUACGGUAGCACACUGUAUUACAUAUUUACAGUAGCAUUUAAAUACUGUAAAAUGGAAAUACAGUUUAGAACUGUAAAUCUUAUUUACAGUAGCCUACUGGCAACAGUGUUGCCAGUAGGUUACUGUAAAAAUCCUUGAA
This is a long non-coding RNA of Paramisgurnus dabryanus, 2011 nucleotides long. RefSeq lists it as uncharacterized. The record is from RefSeq and is a predicted model, not a curated record. Lineage: Eukaryota; Metazoa; Chordata; Actinopteri; Cypriniformes; Cobitidae.